UAAUACUCCUCUUUCAAGACAUUCUUGCGUUCAAUAGCUGUUUUAAUGUUGAUAUUUUUAAUAAUUGUUGAUAUUUUAAUGAUUAAAAUAUCAACAUUAAAACAGCUAUUGAACGUGAGAAUGUCUUGAAAGAAGAGUUAUU
This 142-nucleotide small RNA is filed under the name Mytilus galloprovincialis (Mediterranean mussel). The record is from RNAcentral. Lineage: Eukaryota; Metazoa; Mollusca; Bivalvia; Mytilida; Mytilidae.